UACGUACUGUGCGAACGUUAUUCGGAAUCACUGGGCUUAAAGGGUGUGUAGGCGGCUGGACAAGCAGGGUGUGAAAGGCUUCGGCUCAACCGGGGCAUUGCGCUCCGGACUGUCCGGCUCGAGCAAGACAGGGGUGUGCGGAACUUCCAGUGGAGCGGUGAAAUGUGUUGAUAUUGGAAGGAACGCCGGUGGCGAAAGCGGCACACUGGGUCUUGUCUGACGCUGAGACACGAAAGCCAGGGGAGCGAACGGG
Molecule: unclassified non-coding RNA, 253 nt
Filed under: uncultured Planctomycetales bacterium
Lineage: Bacteria; Pseudomonadati; Planctomycetota; Planctomycetia; Planctomycetales
Description: contains 16S-23S intergenic spacer region
Rfam family: Bacterial small subunit ribosomal RNA
Source: RNAcentral